This 504-nucleotide ribosomal RNA is filed under the name uncultured bacterium. RNAcentral describes it as "bacterial SSU rRNA". It matches the Rfam family "Bacterial small subunit ribosomal RNA", at positions 17 to 518 of the family's 1533-position model. The record is from RNAcentral.
UUAUGGUUCAGGAUGAACGCUGGCGGCGUGCUUAACACAUGCAAGUCGAACGGGGUACCCAUGAUUGAGGCUUCGGCCGAUUGAUUGGACUACCUAGUGGCGGACGGGUGCGUAACACGUGAGUAACCUGCCCUUCAGAGGGGGACAACAGUUGGAAACGACUGCUAAUACCGCAUAAUAUGUAGCUAUCGCAUGGUAGUUACAUCAAAGAUUUUAUCGCUGAAGGAUGGACUCGCGGCCGAUUAGCUAGUUGGUGGGGUAACGGCCUACCAAGGCGACGAUCGGUAGCCGGACUGAGAGGUUGACCGGCCACAUUGGGACUGAGACACGGCCCAGACUCCUACGGGAGGCAGCAGUGGGGAAUAUUGCACAAUGGGCGCAAGCCCUGAUGCAGCAACGCCGCGUUAAGGAUGAAGGUUUUCGGAUCGUAAACUUAUGUCUUCAGGGACGAAAUUUGACGGUACCUGAGGAGGAAGCCACGGCUAACUACGUGCCAGCCGCGGC